UACGUAGGGUGCGAGCGUUAAUCGGAAUUACUGGGCGUAAAGCGUGCGCAGGCGGUUCGUUAAGUUCGUUGUGAAAGCCCCGGGCUCAACCUGGGAACUGCAUUUGUGACUGCAAGGCUGGAGUGCGGCAGAGGGGGAUGGAAUUCCGCGUGUAGCAGUGAAAUGCGUAGAUAUCGGGAGGAACACCAGUGGCGAAGGCGGCUUUCUGGUCUGCUCUUGACGCUGAGGCGCGAAAGCUAGGGUAGCAAACGGG
Molecule: ribosomal RNA, 253 nt
Filed under: uncultured bacterium
Lineage: Bacteria
Description: partial 16S ribosomal RNA
Rfam family: Bacterial small subunit ribosomal RNA
Source: RNAcentral